RNAcentral lists this ribosomal RNA (253 nucleotides) under uncultured bacterium. RNAcentral describes it as "partial 16S ribosomal RNA". It matches the Rfam family "Bacterial small subunit ribosomal RNA", at positions 524 to 776 of the family's 1533-position model. The record is from RNAcentral.
UACGAAGGGGGCUAGCGUUGUUCGGAAUCACUGGGCGUAAAGCGUAUGUAGGCGGAUUGCUAAGUCAGGGGUGAAAUCCCGAGGCUCAACCUCGGAACUGCCUUUGAUACUGGCUGUCUUGAGUCCGGGAGAGGUGAGUGGAAUUCCUAGUGUAGAGGUGAAAUUCGUAGAUAUUAGGAAGAACACCAGUGGCGAAGGCGGCUCACUGGCCCGGUACUGACGCUGAAAUACGAAAGCGUGGGGAGCAAACAGG